Molecule: transfer RNA, 85 nt
Filed under: Thermoanaerobaculia bacterium
Lineage: Bacteria; Pseudomonadati; Acidobacteriota; Thermoanaerobaculia
Description: tRNA-Leu
Rfam family: tRNA
About the family: Transfer RNA (tRNA) molecules are approximately 80 nucleotides in length. Their secondary structure includes four short double-helical elements and three loops (D, anti-codon, and T loops). Further hydrogen bonds mediate the characteristic L-shaped molecular structure. tRNAs have two regions of fundamental functional importance: the anti-codon, which is responsible for specific mRNA codon recognition, and the 3' end, to which the tRNAs corresponding amino acid is attached (by aminoacyl-tRNA synthetases). tRNAs cope with the degeneracy of the genetic code in two manners: having more than one tRNA (with a specific anti-codon) for a particular amino acid; and 'wobble' base-pairing, i.e. permitting non-standard base-pairing at the 3rd anti-codon position.
Source: RNAcentral
GCCGAGCUGGCGGAAUUGGUAGACGCGCACGUUUGAGGGGCGUGUGGGGUAACCCGUGCCGGUUCGAGUCCGGCGCUCGGCACCA